RNAcentral lists this transfer RNA (65 nucleotides) under Foenatopus ruficollis. Its description in RNAcentral is "tRNA-Ile". The record is from RNAcentral. Lineage: Eukaryota; Metazoa; Arthropoda; Insecta; Hymenoptera; Stephanidae.
AAUGAAAUGCCUGAUAAAAGGAUUAUUUUGAUAGAAUAAAUUAUAUAAUAAUGUUAUUUUCAUUA